GCUCCAAUAGCGUAUAUUAAAGUUGUUGCGGUUAAAAAGCUCGUAGUUGGAUUUCUGUUGGGAACGACCGGUCCGCCACUGGGUGUGCAUCUGGCUUGUUCUCGGCAUCUUCUUGGUGAACGUUGCUGCACUUGACUGUGUGGAGCGCUACCAGGACUUUACUUUGAGGAAUUAGAGUGUUUCAAGCAGCAUAUGCCUUG
This 200-nucleotide ribosomal RNA is filed under the name uncultured eukaryote. Its description in RNAcentral is "partial 18S ribosomal RNA". It matches the Rfam family "Eukaryotic small subunit ribosomal RNA", at positions 588 to 797 of the family's 1831-position model. The record is from RNAcentral.